Molecule: ribosomal RNA, 1026 nt
Filed under: Bacillus velezensis
Lineage: Bacteria; Bacillati; Bacillota; Bacilli; Caryophanales; Bacillaceae
Description: bacterial SSU rRNA
Rfam family: Bacterial small subunit ribosomal RNA
Source: RNAcentral
CUGCGGGUGCUAUAAUGCAAGUCGAGCGGACAGAUGGGAGCUUGCUCCCUGAUGUUAGCGGCGGACGGGUGAGUAACACGUGGGUAACCUGCCUGUAAGACUGGGAUAACUCCGGGAAACCGGGGCUAAUACCGGAUGGUUGUUUGAACCGCAUGGUUCAGACAUAAAAGGUGGCUUCGGCUACCACUUACAGAUGGACCCGCGGCGCAUUAGCUAGUUGGUGAGGUAACGGCUCACCAAGGCGACGAUGCGUAGCCGACCUGAGAGGGUGAUCGGCCACACUGGGACUGAGACACGGCCCAGACUCCUACGGGAGGCAGCAGUAGGGAAUCUUCCGCAAUGGACGAAAGUCUGACGGAGCAACGCCGCGUGAGUGAUGAAGGUUUUCGGAUCGUAAAGCUCUGUUGUUAGGGAAGAACAAGUGCCGUUCAAAUAGGGCGGCACCUUGACGGUACCUAACCAGAAAGCCACGGCUAACUACGUGCCAGCAGCCGCGGUAAUACGUAGGUGGCAAGCGUUGUCCGGAAUUAUUGGGCGUAAAGGGCUCGCAGGCGGUUUCUUAAGUCUGAUGUGAAAGCCCCCGGCUCAACCGGGGAGGGUCAUUGGAAACUGGGGAACUUGAGUGCAGAAGAGGAGAGUGGAAUUCCACGUGUAGCGGUGAAAUGCGUAGAGAUGUGGAGGAACACCAGUGGCGAAGGCGACUCUCUGGUCUGUAACUGACGCUGAGGAGCGAAAGCGUGGGGAGCGAACAGGAUUAGAUACCCUGGUAGUCCACGCCGUAAACGAUGAGUGCUAAGUGUUAGGGGGUUUCCGCCCCUUAGUGCUGCAGCUAACGCAUUAAGCACUCCGCCUGGGGAGUACGGUCGCAAGACUGAAACUCAAAGGAAUUGACGGGGGCCCGCACAAGCGGGGGAACAGUGGGUUUAAUUCCAAACAACGCCAAAAAACCUUUCCAGGGCUUGAAAUCCUCUGACAACCCAAAAAAAAGGAGGCCCCCUCUGGGGGGAAAAAGAAAGGGGGGGCUUG